ACACGACUCUCGGCAACGGAUAUCUCGGCUCUCGCAUCGAUGAAGAACGUAGCGAAAUGCGAUACCUGGUGUGAAUUGCAGAAUCCCGCGAACCAUCGAGUCUUUGAACGCAAGUUGCGCCCGAGGCUAUUCGGCCGAGGGCACGCCUGCCUGGGCGUCACGC
This 163-nucleotide ribosomal RNA is filed under the name Helictochloa bromoides. RNAcentral describes it as "5.8S ribosomal RNA". It matches the Rfam family "5.8S ribosomal RNA". From Rfam's summary of the family: 5.8S ribosomal RNA (5.8S rRNA) is a component of the large subunit of the eukaryotic ribosome. It is transcribed by RNA polymerase I as part of the 45S precursor that also contains 18S and 28S rRNA. Lineage: Eukaryota; Viridiplantae; Streptophyta; Magnoliopsida; Poales; Poaceae. The record is from RNAcentral.